Molecule: long non-coding RNA, 505 nt
Filed under: Heterocephalus glaber (naked mole-rat)
Lineage: Eukaryota; Metazoa; Chordata; Mammalia; Rodentia; Bathyergidae
Description: lncRNA (ENSHGLG00000033417.1)
Source: RNAcentral
CCUCCGCCCGCCGCCCCCGGGGCUCCGCCCGCUGAGGUCCACUCCCCUCACCCUCCUUUCUCCUGCCUGCCCUCCCUCGGCGGGCCGAGCACUUUCAGCCUCAGACCUCAAGCCGAAGUCCGAGGAGUGCGUGUCUGCUGCGCUGCUUCCAGCCGAAAUCCCCCGGUCCGGCCCAGACCCAGGGUCCGCACUCGGGGCGGUGGGGAAGCCUUAAGAGCAGGCUUUUCUCUAUGCAGCAAAAUCGUCCCCAGACCAGAUGGGCGGCCCAGCUCUCCCGGGACCAGGCAGAUUUCUUCCUCAGAAGCAGAAAUGAUUGACGAAGGGUUCCACAACAGAUCAUGGGACGGCGGGGUCCUUAAACCCUGACAUUCUCUACCAGUGCCUUAGGAAGGAGUCAAGGUGAAGCGCUUCGGAUAAUUGCCUUCAGUAAAAUAACACGAUUGCAAAAUUAUAUCUCUGCCUGCGGGGCAAUUAACUUCGAUCCGUGCCAUCAUUUGAAAAGUAG